UACGGAGGGUGCAAGCAUUAAUCGGAUUUAUUGGGCGUAAAGGGCGCGUAGGCGGAAAGACAAGUCAGAUGUGAAAUCCCGGGGCUCAACCUCGGAACUGCAUUUGAAACUGUCUUCCUAGAGGGUAGGCGGAGAAAACGGAAUUCCACAAGUAGCGGUGAAAUGCGUAGAUAUGUGGAAGAACACCGGUGGCGAAGGCGGUUUUCUAGCUUAUUCCUGACGCUGAGGCGCGAAAGCAAGGGGAUCAAAC
This 250-nucleotide ribosomal RNA is filed under the name uncultured bacterium. Its description in RNAcentral is "partial 16S ribosomal RNA". It matches the Rfam family "Bacterial small subunit ribosomal RNA", at positions 524 to 773 of the family's 1533-position model. The record is from RNAcentral.